Molecule: long non-coding RNA, 28500 nt
Filed under: Lathyrus oleraceus (garden pea)
Lineage: Eukaryota; Viridiplantae; Streptophyta; Magnoliopsida; Fabales; Fabaceae
Description: Pisum sativum (pea) long non-coding RNA (PSAT_LNC038390)
Source: RNAcentral
AAAGACUUCAUAAAUAUUCAAAAUAAAUAUUUUACUUGUUUGGAGGAAGAAACAAAAGCAAGCAUUUCAGAGUAAGUAGGAAGGGCUACAAAGCCAUUGUCAUCAAAAUUAAAUUCUAACGUAAAAAUAGUAACUAAAUUUGUCUCAAAAAUAAAACAGGAAGGAUAAAAUCUCAUAAACAAAAAAACAGUACUAAUAACGUCCAAUGCCCCGGACUCUAACAACACCAUCGGUAUAUCCACUAAACAAAGUGCUUCCAUCAGCACUCCAGUUCAAACUAGUGCAGUAAAUGUCCUGCAAAGAAAACGCCAGAAGUAGAGCAAAUAUAUAACUGAAUUGGAAAAACAACAAACCGAAUGCAGAUGCUUGUGUAAAACAAGCCAGAAAUAAAUAGAUUAAAUUUGAGACAUUGUUGAUUAAUACAUACAACAACUAAACAAAGAUUAUUUCAUCAAAUUGCAGCAAGAGAUAAACAACAUAAAUAAAACUCAGGUUAACAAAACCAGUAAAAGAUAAAUGCAAAACCAGUCAUCAAAUAGCUGCAAAAGAUAACACACAUAACCAGUAAAUGAACUUAAAUCAUCAGCAUUAAACCGACACAACAAAACUUCUAGCAUAUCAUAUAAGCUUGAAAAAUAUGGAAAAAAUAAUGGCAGGCAGGAAACAACCAACACUAAAUAAAAAUCAUCUAAACAACUUAAUCAUCUGCGCCAGAUGACUAGCGUUCAGGGAAUUACGAAUAAAACCAAUUAAGAAACAAUCAACUUCAAUUCAAUACCAGGCAAAUAACCAAACAUUCAAACCAUUUCAAGAGUCAUAAACAGAAAGCCCAUAGUCAAAGUAAACAAAAUAAGAAAAAUUCCCUGACAUAUGAUGCAUUUCGCGUGACACAAAAGUUAAAACCAUUUUGUCCAUGGAAGAAAGACAUAUUCAACAUAAAGUAGUCACAAAUUUAAAGAACGACACGACUCCAAAAGAAUAUUCGUUAACAUUAAACAAAUAAGUACGCCCUGCACAGUUAGGAUAAAUCUCUUUACAGAACAAUUCACAUAGUAUCAUCCAUUUAUCAGAUGUUGAAUAAGCUCAGAAAAUCAGGUAAAUAAAAAAAAUUCAAAAAGCAAGAACUAACAAAAUUUAAAUCAACUAGUGUGAUUAAUAACUGUAAUAUAAAAUUUAAAAAAUAUACCUCUUCUUUGGUAGUGUUACCACCGGUGACGGUGUAGCCAUCAGCUCAUGACUUUAAGUCAACUUCAAAUCCUCAACAUGCCUUGCUCUCAAAUGCCGCAGAUCUUUAAUGCUGACUUCGAGUGCAGCACAUAGCCUGAUACCUGUUAGUACUAAAAGCACAAGGCAUGGAUAAUAGAACCCCAUCUUAAGAGAGUAAAGUUCUUCUCCUAGCCAAAAAUCCCACAAAAGAAUAACACCAUCUUUGCAACCACUGGCACAGAGGGAACCAUCAGAGGGAACAUCAAGCAAUCAGGUGUUGAUCAUAUCCAGAGUGUCCAGCUAAGAGUGUUCUCACGCUACCAGAUCUUGCAGUUUGUCAGAUUUCCAAACCUUCAACAGUUUUAUCGCUCAUGAGCAGAGACAAUAGUACGGCUUGUUAGAGUGCUUAGGGCCUCGAACGCACUACAGCCUAACCAAUCAGAAUUGAGCUAUCACCGUCGGCCAUAGCCUGUACUUGCGCACCUCACCGAGAGUGUUCAACAGCUUAAUCGGUGCACGAUAAAACUAGUUUAAGGUAUGCCCAUUAGGUUCUAUAAGCGCUGUCCCGGUUGUUCCAAUAGACAUCUAGUAUGAUCCUGUCGAGAUCUUCCUUGGACCACCCUUCUCAUUACUUGUGUCAACGCAUCUCUAUCCGAUUUAGAAUAAGUUCAGUACAGAUAUAAAGUAUCCCUAUACUAUCUAACAGCAAACAGAUUAACAUUACAUAAUUCUCUAAGUUUCUCAUCUAUUUUCUCUAUCAACUAAUACAAGCUCUUAGUUUCUAUUUCAAAAAUGAAGAAGCAUUUGGUACCUGCUCUGUAAUUGUUUUUGAGAAGCGCACCCCUCCUCCAAAUACACCCACAUGGCCUUCAGGGACUGUGAACAAUGACAAGGAAUUUUAUAAGGAUGAUGAUUGCUGUGGGAACCAAAACCUAUAGAUAACAUAAGACAUGUCUUAAGCUUUAAGUUGUCAAUAAACACUAACACAAACCGAUGUACAACUGAAAGUAACCAGUGUGUCAAUGUCCGCCGACACAUGUCAGAUACAAUAGAAAUAUUCAAUCAGAAAUGUCGGGCUACAUAGUUAGAUGUUGACAACAAUCAAUUCAAUGAAACAUAACCUCAUUAAGCAUUAUCAAUCAAAUCAAUCAAACAAGAACGAAUAUCAAACAACAACAAAUUAAGACAAAGAUUCCAUUGCCUAUGCAUUAUCAUCAAAAUCAAAGCAAGCAAAACAAUUUCAAAACAACAACUAAUGUCAUCUAAACACGCAAGUGUUACACAAGAGUGCCCUAAAAAUACAUCAACAUUGACACAUAAUUAUUAUCACACUAAUUUUUUAUGUGCGAUUGUUUUCAAUGCUGUUAAAUAUAGUUUUUCUAUAUGAAAAUUCAAACAAUGGAUAUUUCACGGCGAUAUAGAUAACAAAAAACAAAAACAGGAAUCGAAUGUUUAACUUUUCAGUAAUACAUUUGGGAAAGAGAUACAGUGAGAUAGAGAGUAUUACGAUAGCGCAAUGGCUAUGAAGGAGAGCAAGAUGAAGGUAACGGAAGGUGGAGUUGAAUCGGUGUGGCGAGCUCGUGUUGGAACGCUGCGAAUCCAUGGCGGUGCAACUUUCUUGGCUGUUUGAUUCUGAGUUUGGGUUUGGUAUAUUUUGCUUUAUUGGUCAUCAUGCGGUUCUUCUAAAACACGUUCAAUGAUUGAAACCGAAAAAUUGGAAGUGUAUUCGGUUCGCUGUUAUGGUUUUCGCUGAUAGGGUUCAACGUUCGCAGGAGGAAAACAAAAGAACAGAGAACGAAAAUUGAAAUGGAGUCUGAAAUUUUAUUUUAAUUAGACCUUAGACAGCGCUUUGUGGAAAGCGGCUUUCUAAGUAUGCCUUUUAGACAGCGCUUUCCAAAAGCGCUUUCUAACCCCCCCUUAGACAGCGCUUUGGUUUUAAUUUUUUUUUAAUUUAAAGACUUUAGACAGCGCUUUAUCAAAAGCGCUGACUAAGGUCUAUAUUUAAAAGCGCUGUCUAAGGGGGGGUCUUAGACAGCGCUUUUAGAAAGCGCUGUCUAAGACCCCCCUUUAGACAACGCUUUCAUUAUUUUUUUGGAACAUUUUCCGUGUUUUAUUUUAAUUUUAACCUUAGACAACGCUUUCUUUUAAAAGCGUUGUCUAAGAUGCGCUGUUAAAAGUCAUUUUUGGCGUAGUGUUCCCAUUUUCUCGAACAAGGUAUAGGGCAUUAGAUUGACUGCAACACCCCGUCGACAAACACCUUAUUCACCGCCAUUCCAUCAACCUUAACUCUGAUGAACAAUGGUUUUAGGUGGUACAUCAUCCCAGGACUAGGCCUUUCAAACAUAGCUUUAUGUUCUUCCACCACGCUGUUAUUCAUGACAUAGUAGCAUAAAGGUUUUCCUCCAUCUGUUUCGUCUGGUAUAAAGUCUCCCUUUAUUUCAGAAACUUUAAAUACCAUGUCAUAUUCAGCUGGUAGCACCGACACAAUGCCACAGUUUACGACGAAAUCAUCACCAUAUAUAUCAUCGUGGUUUUCGUCGUACAUGUCCUCGUCAAAUACCUCGUCAGACUGAGGGGAAUAUUCAGGCCCCCCCUUCUCUGGUUGGGGAGAAUACUCUGGUUCCUCCUCCUUCGAAUUGCCCUCGCUUCGUGGCUGUCUCUCGAUCUCUGACGAACAUUCCACAUUCUGAGUAGCUAUCACUGCCUCUUUUCCCGUCCAGUCGACGGUCAUGGCCACUGUCUGAUUGGCCAUCAUUUUUCCUGGUCCUUUUGCCUUUGACAUCUGUUCCUUUUGUUCAGUGGUCUUUGAAGUCUUCGACUGUGGAGUGGUAAUGACUUUCCGAGCUUUUUUGUUUUGCUGGUGGCGUCUCCACUGUGUCAUCGUCAUUUUAUUCUUUCCCUUGUAGUUAGGGGAGAUUGUGUAGCAUCUUUUCUUCUCUGGAGAUGUUGUCUCUUUCUCCAACACCCUCAAUUUGGCUUUUUGCCCCCUUUCUGAUUGACAGAUUCUAUCCAUUUCUCCUGUGGAACAUCAGUUGGAGGAAUGAAAGUCUUUGGUCGGGAACGCUUAAAUUGUCUUCUAUAAUCCUCGUUCCGUCGAGGUGCUCUAUGAAUGUCAAUCACAGAUCAUGGGACAUCAGGCUUUUCCUCUUUAACAACCUUGUUGUCGGCCUCUAGUCUUUCGACGGUUUUCUCGUCGAACACCGCGCUGCACUUUGGGCACAUCACAUCUUUUGACCCAUUUCCCUUGCACUUCUCCUGGAAGUAUGACAAGCUUUUUCCAGGCUAGGGACAGGGCGACUCGGGCCUCCUUUCGUCUUUGUUUCCGAAACACUCAGUAGUUUCGACCAUCAUCAUUUCAAAUGAUUCAACUAACGAGGUUGCUUUGGAAACCUCAAUGAGAACAUUAGUAGUCUCUACCAUUUUGCACUCUAGAGGCUCUGCAUACAAAUCUUCUUCCACCUUCAGAGGUUCAAAAUCCACCUGCAUUUUUGGCCUUUCGACAAACUGGAGCCUUCCUUCUUUCAGAGAUUUCUGCACCAAAUCCCUAAAAAGAACACAUUGGUGAGUUUUGUGACCAAGGAAAUUAUGAAAUUUAUAAAAUCCACCUUUCUUCUUUUGUUCUAGGGGAGGGUCUUUUAAACCCUGAGGGAUGAUAAUCUGACCAUCUUUUACUAAUAGAUCAAAGAUUCCGUCGCACUUAGACACAUCGAACGUAUAUGUCUUAGCUAUGUAUUUGUCUGUUCUCUCUCGUUCGACAAGGUUUUUUCCAUCCGAUGGCUUCAAAACCUUACACGCAUAUGGAGGUCCGGGCUUAAGUUUUGCCACAUUAACCUCACUCCUGUCGACUGUAUCUUCGUCAUCGGAAGAGACUCCUUCGACUAUGAUAUAGGACACUUUUUCCUUCUUAUGAUAUCGACCCGCCUUUGACUUCUCAUCUUUCAAGCAUUCGAUACGUCAAACCCUAUCAGCCAAUUGGGCCAUAUCCCUAAGAUAUUGAGUAUCCAUCCUUUUCCUUAUAGAAUAAUCUAGAUCCCCUGUCGCCAUCUCGAUUAGUUCGUGUUCAGGGACUUGAGUAAAGCACCAUGCCUUCAGUAGUCUAAACCUGUUCAGGUACUGAUCAAUUGAUUUAGUAACCUUUCGCUUAAUGUUAGCAAGUUCUUUGAGGUUGAUCUUUGAUUGUCCCAUGUAGAAUUGUUCAUGGAACAACCUCUCCAACUGUGUUCAUGUUUGGAUCGACUUUGGAGGAAGCAUCGUGAACCAUAUGAACGCGUUUUUUGUCAAAGAACUUGGGAAGUAUUUUAACUUCAAAUCUUCAUUUUUCGAUAUGUCUCCAGCCUCGGUCUGGUACCUGGCCACGUGCUCGACGGUGGAUUCUUCAGUAUCCCUAGCGAACUUAGUAAAUUAGGGACUUUCCAUCCCCUUGGCAAUUCUGUCUGUAAGACAAAAUCUGGUAGAGGAGAGGAGUACGUCGGCCGUUGGAUGCAAAGACUUGCUCCAUUUCACAGUAUGAUCCAUUCGAAGAUAGCCUCUAGGUUUUGUUCCCCUAUGGCUGCAUCGUGUCGAACUUGUCGAACCACCUGGUCUGGAUCCUGGUUACGGUUAACCAGUAUCACGGGGGCCUUUGUGCCACCCUUCGGAUGUGUUCGAAUUCCUGAUAUUCCUGUUCGACAGUGUCAUCUAUCAUCUUUUCUUGUCGAACUGGUGUUUCUGGUCGAGGAGGAGGUGUGGGAUUUCGACAAACUUAAGCCCUUGGAGCUCCCCAAAAAAUAUCCAAUCCUUAUCAUUUGGGUCUCCAACUAGUGGCAACUCUGCGUCGAAUCCUGGAUCAAUGGUCUCAAAAUAGUACCCAUUUGUUGAGUUAGCAUAUGUACCAUUUCAUGGUUGCUUUCGUCCAUCUGUUGUCUCAUAACGACAUCAGAGCUUGACGUAAAAGUUGGGACUGAUUGAGACGUCAAUCCGAAACCUGGGGGUCGACCAAAUGGGGUUGCCAAAUGUCCUAACCCCUAGUAAAAAGAGAAUGGCGAUGACGAGGUAUCAUUUUAAGUCGAACUGAGGUUAUGCAUAUUUGCCAUAAACUCCGUCGGCAUUCCCAACGUUCUGUUCAUGGUGCCCCUAUUUAAGGACAUUCUAACUGAGGAGGCGAAGGUUAAAAUCUUCAUGUCGACUCAGUAGAAUGGGCUUAAAUAAAAACAUAUAGAAACAAACUUUGGUCCCUAAGAGACCUCAUGAUGCAUAUGAUAUGAAUGUAAAAGUUAAUGCUCUAUGGGGAAAUAUUGCCACAAAGGAAAAAGAAGUCGGAGAGACCGAAAGUCCGCAGGAGUAAAAUGCAUUCCGUAAGGAAAACUCACUGGGGAGACCGAGACUCUGAGGGGAAAAAGAGGUUACACGUAGGCCAGGCUACGACUUAAAACUGCUGGGGGACUCGAGGGACUCCAUACAAACAUGGAAAAGACUUAGCCGAGGAACUACAACAUCUACAGGGGAUACGAGUAAGUCAGGAUAAAACUGAAGUACUUAAAUCAUGCAGGGAAAAUGAUUUCACUAAGGAAAUGCGCAUUCAAUUCAACUGGGGAGAAAUAAACUUCAACACAGGAGGAACAGAAAUCUAUUAUCUACUACCUGUUACUGGGUAAGGAGAUAAUAAAGAUCUGACAGAGAGGAUGCCCGUCAUCGGUUAGGAUGAAUAUAUCAAGGAUAGACUCAAGCAGGGGAGAGAAAGAUAUAUGUAACCGGUUAGGGUGAACAUAUCAAGGAUGUACUUCCUGGGGAAUCAGAUCCACUGGGGACUCCACUGCUGGGAAAGCUGGGGUACUUUUGCCGGGUAUUGGGCAAGAAGUAACAAACUGCAAACUAAGAAGAAUAUUACCAGUUACUGGGAAAUAGACUCUUAGGGGACUCAAAGCAUCUAUCUAGGUAAGAGCUGAAAGAAACGGUCAAUCAAGACUCAACCCAUUGAUGACAUAACCCAAGGGGAGUGAUUCCAUCCAGAUAAUUAACUGGGGAGGAAACUGAAAUAAUAAUCAUCCACGAGGAAACAAACUCAGUGGGGGAAAGGAGAAAGGUUAAAGUCUUUCUGCUUAAGGGGCUGACACUCUACAAUUGAAGGAGGACAGACACCAGAUUUUGUAUGGGGAUAGAGUACCGCCAUAACAAAGAAUAAUCUAAAACUCAGUGGGGGAAAGGAGAAAGGUUAAAGUCUUUCUGCUUAAGGGGCUGACACUCUACAAUUGAAGGAGGACAGACACCAGAUUUUGUAUGGGGAUAGAGUACCGCCAUAACAAAGAAUAAUCUUGAAUGAAUCAAUCAAAUAUGAUAAUGAAAAUCAUGAAAUUAUAUGAAUGUGUAUGUAUAUGUAUAUAUGAUGAUUAUGCUGACAACACGAUCACAAAGGAUACCGAGGCGUCGCAAAGAAUUUGAAUCAUCGGUACAAUCCUCGGUUAAUCCAUAAGAUAUGGAGAGAACUGCUGGAGAACAGAGAGAUCAUUAAUCCGAAAAGGCUCAACCCUAACUGGGGAAGAAGCAGAUCUGCUGAGGAAAGAAACCUCAAAUUUGUCGGGAAUUUUAGGUAAACACCAUAAAAAUGAGAGAUAACCCUACAGGGAAUGAUCACAAAAAAAAAGUUGCUCAGAAACCAGGAGGAAACUCUGACUAGGAGCAAGUCGGACGGCGAUUGGCGGGGAAGCCAAUGCGAUCUACUAGGGAAAUCAACCAUAUCUGCUGACGAUCAACCCUGCUGAGGAAACACAAACUCCGUUGGCGAAGGCAGAAACUCUGUCGGGGAAAAUAACACACCGUAGGGUAUCUGAAUCAACCAACUCAGCUGCAGAAAAAGAACGAAGCUUUUACUGGAGAGAACAAACAUUCCGCCGAGGAACUGAAUCAACACAAACGUCCAGGGAUACCCAAAGGGUUAAUUGCUUGGGGAACCUCUGAUGUUUCUCACUGAAGGACUUGCUAUCUCUUAAAAUGUUGUUGAUAUUCCUUUUAAUUGCUUUGAAAAAUUAUUGCUUUUAUAUAUUUUUAUGAAAAAGAGAUUUUAAUUAAAAAAUUUAAAUUUUCAAAAUGAUCAUAAUAAAAUUUAAAACUAUUGGCUGAAGUAAAUAAGAGUAGAAACAAUUGGACAAAAGCUCAACUUUAUUGGAUGGAAUAGUUGAGCUUUCGGGUUUUCAAUCCACCGAGACGCUCUUUUUUCCUAAGCCGCCCUUUCGGGUUUUCAACUUAGCGAGUUGUUCUGUUUUUAGGCGAAGUAUUUCUUGACUGCAUCUGCGUUCACAGGACGAGUGAACUCUUCACCAUCCAUAGUUGUAAGUAUCAAUGCACCGCCUGAAAAGGCUCUCUUAACAACAUAUGGGCUUUCAUAAUUAGGAGUCCAUUUUCCUCUAGAAUCUUGUUUGAAGGAUAAAAUCUUCUCGAGCACAAGGUCACCUUCUUUGAACACAUGAGGUUUGACCUUCUUAUCAAAAGCUUUCUUCAUCCUUUGCUGAUACAACUGACCAUGACACAUGGCAGUUAAUCUCUUCUCUUCAAUCAAAUUCAACUGCUCAAACCUGGUCUAACACCAUUCAACCUCAGUCAACUUGGCUUCCAUAAGCACACGCAAUGAAGGAAUCUCAACCUCUACGGGGAGCACUGCUUCCAUACCAUACACAAGAGAGAAAGGGGUUGCCCCUGUUGAAGUGCGAAUGGAUGUACGAUACCCAUGUAAAGAAAAUGGGAGCAUCUCAUGCCAAUCCUUAUAUGUGACAACCAUCUUCGGAAUAAUCUUCUUGACGUUCUUGUUCGCGGCUUCAAUAGCCCCAUUCAUCUUAGGUCUGUAGGAGAAGAGUUAUGAUGUGCAAUCUUGAAGUCUUUGCAAAGAACUUCCACCAUAUUGUUAUUCAAGUUCGAUCCAUUGUAAGUAAUGAUCUUACUUGGCACACCAUAACGACAUAUAAUUUGAUUCUUGAUAAACCUUACAACAACUUGCUUGGUUACAUUUGCAUACGACGCCGCUUCAACCCAUUUGGUGAAGUAGUCAAUUGCCACCAAAAUGAAACGAUGUCCAUUCGAAGCUUUGGGCUCAAUCAUCCCAAUCAUAUCAAUUUCCCACAUGGAGAAGGGCCAUGGGGACAAGGUAACAUUCAAUAGUGUCGGAGGAACAUGAAUCUUAUCAGCAUAAAUUUUACACUUGUGGCAUUUCUUCACAAAUUUGCAAUAGUCAGAUUCCAUUGUCAACCAAUAGUAAUCUGCUCUCAACAUCUUCUUCGCCAUUGCAUGUCCAUUGGAAUGAGUACCAAAGGAACCUUCAUGCAGUUCAGUCAUCGACAAGUUUGCUUCGUGUCUAUCCAUACAUCUGAGCAAAACCAUGUCGAAGUUUCUCUUGUAUAGUAUAUCACCAUUCAAGUAGAAAUUGCCGGCUAAUCUUCUCAAAGUCUUCUUAUCUUUCAAAGAUGCAUAAGACGGGUAAAUAUGACUUUGGAGGAAACAUUUGAUAUCGUAAUACCACGACUUCUCGUCUUUGAUCUCUUCAACAACAAUCAUUGACGCCAAUGUUGUAGGAGCAUCUGCCAUCCGGUUUUCAUCUCGAGGGAUAUGAUGAAACUCAACCUUUGUAAAGAAAGUUGAAAUCCUCCUCGCAUAAUCUCUAUAUGGUAUUAAACCGGGUUGAUUUGUCUCCCAUUCUCCUUUGACUUGAUUCACAACCAAAGCCGAAUCACCGAAGACAUCCAAAUACUUGAUUCUGAGAUUCAUGACCUCUUCGAGCCCCAUAAUGCAAGCUUCAUAUUCUGCCAUAUUGUUAGUACACUUGAAAGUCAAUCUAGCUGUAAAUGGUAGAUGCGUGCCUUGAGGAGUAAUAAUCACUGCCCCAAUGCCAUUUCCAUAUUGGUUAACAGCUCCAUCAAAUACAAUGCCCCAACGGGAUACAGGUUCUGGCCCUUCUUCAAGCAAUGGUUCAUCACAAUAUUUCAUUUUUAAGUACAAAAUCUCUUUAUCAGGGAAAUCAUAUUGCCAUGUCUGGUAAUCUUCAAUUGGUUGGUGAGCGAAAUGGUCAGCCAAGAUACUACCUUUGAUUGCUUUCUAAGAUCGGUAUUCGAUAUCAUACUCUGAUAACAACAUCUGCCAACGGGCAAUUCUCCCAGUUAAAGCAGGCUUCUCAAAUAUAUACUUGAUUGGAUCCAUUUUGGAUAUUAACCGAGUGGUAUGAUUUAACAUAUACUGGCGCAGACGCUUAGCAGCCCAAGCCAAUGCGCAACAAUUUUUCUCAAGCAUACAAUACCGAGUCUCACAGUCGGUGAACUUCUUACUGAGGUAGUAAAUUGAAAAUUCUUUCUUUCCAUUCUCAUCUUGCUAACCAAGAACACAACCCAUACUUUCAUCAAGCACAGUCAAAUACAUGAUCAAUGGUCUUCCUUCAACAGGUGGAGACAAAAUCGAAGGUUCAAGCAAAUAUUCCUUGAUACUGUCAAAAGCUUUUUGUCAGUCUUCGGUCCAAUCACAAGACUGAUCUUUCUGAAGAAGCUUGACUAUAGGCGCACAUGUGGCAGUCAUAUGGGAAAUGAAUCUGGAGAUAUAAUUCAAGCCCCCGAGAAAACCUUUGACUUGCUUCUCAGUUUUGGGCGCAGGCAUCUCUUGUAUUGCUUUGACCUUGGCAGGAUCAACUUCAAUACCCUUCUCGUUGACAAUAAAGCCCAACAACUUACCAGAACGAACACCAAAAGUACACUUAUUGGGAUUAAAGCGAAGUUUAUAUUUCCUCAAACGCUGGAAUAGCCUCAACAAAUGCUCAACAUGUUCAUCUUCAUUAAUUGAUUUAGCAAUCAUGCCAUCAACAUAAACUUCAAUCUCUUUAUGCAUCAUAUCAUGAAAAAGAGUAGUCAUUGCUCUUUGGUAAGUUGCACCAGCAUUCUUUAAACCGAAAGGCAUCACUCUAUAACUCUUACAAGGGGUUCCUGUAAUGAAUGUGGUCUUCUCCAUAUCUUCGGGUGCCAUCUUGAUCUGAUUAUAUCCAGAAAAUCCAUCCAUAAACGAAAAGACUUUGAAUUUAGCAGUAUUGUCUACCAAUAUAUUAAUGUGUGGCAGAGGGAAAUCAUCUUUCGGACUAGCUUUAUUCAAAUCUCUAUAAUCAACACACAUGCGUACUUUUCCAUCUUUCUUCGGCACUGGCAAAAUAUUGGCCACCCAUUGCGGAUACUCAGCGGUCACAAGGAAACCGACAUCAAUCUGCUUCUGCACUUCCUCUUUGAUCUUCACAACCAUAUCAGGACGCGUUCUUCUCAACUCCUCCUUGACUGGCGUGCAUUCUGGCUUCAACGGCAAUCUAUGCUCCACAAUAUCAGAAUCCAACCCAAGCAUGUCUUGAUAGGACCAAGCAAACACAUCUGAAUACUCUCGAAGAAGAUCAAACAACCCCUUCUUAGCAUCUGGACACAGGCGAGACCCAAUCUUGACUUCCUUCACAUCAUCUUCAGAACCCAAGUUGACUAGUUCAAUCUGCUCUUCAAACGGAUUAAUGGUCUUUUCAUCUUGCUCAAGAAGGCGAGAUAAUUCAUCACUCACUUCUACAUCACUUUCCUCCUCGGCCUCAAACACAGGGAAUUCAAAAUUUGGAGAAGAAGAAGGAUCAUUGUAUUUAAUUGGGUUAGGAACCAACCUGCAUAAUGAUUUGAUAUUUUGAUUUUAGAGAAGUGAAUAUUGUGACCAAAUAUUAUGCAGAUGGACAAUUAUAUUGUUUAUUUAUGUUUUUUGUGAUUACCAUUUUCAGAAUAAAGCAACAAGUAAAAACAAACAUCAUAGAUGUGGAUGAAUAAAAUUAAUUUUAUUAAUGAUCAAUUGAAAAUGCCCAAACAAGUCCACUUCUCCCUUAGGCAUAGGAGACGGAUUUAAAAACAUAUAAAAGUAUUUACUUAGAUUGAUGGAAAAUAACAGGAAUAUCAAUAGGAGUCUAAUUGUUGCACGUCUUUCCAUGCGUCACAAAAUUGGUGCAGUCUUCCUCUUCGUCAUCCUCUAGCACAACAGCUAAGUGUUGUUCAUUGCCAUGAAUGAACCCUCCACUACGGAAGCUGAGUUGUAUAUCUUCAGAUCUUGCAAUUGAUGAGCCUUUCUGGAACCCCAAACCGGUUAUGCCCUUGUUGUCGGAGACCUCUAUCAUGCGCCCCCACUGAUCAAUAGUUCCUUCUUCAACAAUCUUUUGAGCAUCUUUUAAUGAGGACAUAGGUGCCCCAACUCUCUUCUCAACAGAAAUAGAUAAGGCUUGGAACGGAGUCCCAACCUCAUCCUCAACUUCAACAUAAGAGAAAGAUGACAGGUGGCUAACCAAUAGCGCCUUCUCCCCACCAACAAUCACUAGCUUGCCAUUAUUGACAAAUUUCAGUUUCUGAUGUAGAGUGGAAGUAACAGCUCCUGUCUCAUGGAUCCAUGGCCUUCCCAUUAAGCAACUGUAGGCCGAUGGAUAUGCAUUACUUGAAAAGAAAUCUGAAAAUCACUCGGACCUAUCUUGACUGGAAGGUCUUCUUCACCAAUUACUGUCUUGCGCGAACCAUCAAAGGCUUUGACGAUUACACCGCUAUACCUCAUGAGUGCUCCUUGAUAAGAUAGCUUCGACAAAUUUGACCUUGGAAGCAUAUUCAGUGACGACCCGGUGUCAAUAAGCACAUUUGACAAAGCAUCUUCCUUGCAAUUCAUCGAGAUAUGCAAAGCCAAAUUAUGGUUUCUUCUCUCCUUAGGGAGUUCUUCAUCAUAGAAGCUGAGAUUAUUGCAAGAAGUGAUGUUAGCCACAAUAUGAUCGAAUUGAUCCACUGUAACAUCAUGUUUUACAAAAUCUUGUUCCAGAACUCUCUGCAGUGCUUCUCUAUGCGCUUCGGAAUUCAUCAGCAGAGACAACACUGAAAUUUUUGAGGGGGUUUGGAGCUGCUGCUCUACCACAUUGAACUCUCUCCUUUUGAUUAGUCGGAGUACCUCAUCAUCAUCAUUGGCUUUCAAAUUGCUGGAUUCACCAAACUUAUCUUUCGAACAGCCAACUGGGUCCACACUAGGCACCUCCACUUUCUUCCCAACAAUUGUUUCCUCUUUAUCCUUUGGGAACACCGGCCCAAACACUCGACCACUGCGGGUCACCUUAGUAACAUCAGCAAUGCUCACUACUGAACUAGUCGUAGGUAACGGGACCUCUUGACCAUCCUUCAUCAUUGUAGCAUUAUAUUGAUACGACACAACUUUAUCAGAUGAAUACGGGACUGGGCCCGCUAACCGUAUUACCAACGACGAUACUGAUCUUUAACUGUUGUUGUUACUAGAGUCAUACUGGAUUACCAAUCGCUCUUGUUGCUUGAAAACGGGCACUAUGACAUUAACAUCGUCAUCUACAUGACGGGAUUGAACAAUUUAGAUCAUUCCUUCAUACAUCAGUCGUUGGAUGUCCCUUUUCACAACCUCACAACCCCUCGGGUUAACACUACAAACAGCACAACCAUCAUGGUCGUGCUCGCAUUCACUUACCAAACAAACAUCCUUAUGCAUCUGCACUAAGGACCUCCUGAUAAAAUGCACAUAAAAGACUUUGAAUUCUCCAGGACAACCGCCCACCAUAUUCACAGAAGAGUUCCCAUGAGCGGGCAAAAGGUUUACUUUCACAUUUGGCGCACGGUCCUCGAAGGACACCAUACCACUCUUCAUUAAUUUCUGAACCUCAUACUUCAAUGGAUAACAAUUUUCAAUGUCGUGUCCGGGUGCUCCUUGAUGAAAAGCACAACAGAGCUCAGGUUUAUACCACCAAGGAAGUGGUUCUGGGAUCUGUGGCGGGUUUCUUGGUUGAAUUAAGUUUUAGAGAACUAAGGAUAGAUACAACUCUGUAUAUGACAUAGGAAUCGGGUCAAAAGAGACCUUCUUCCUCUCAAAGUUUUGCUGAUGAUGAUUAUUAUUGGUAUUGUUGUUGUUGUAGGUGUUCGUUCAUUGUUGUGGUUGUUGUUGUUGACGUUGUUGUUGUUGAAUUGGUGUUGCUUGUUGAUUAGAAAAUACCAGAAUUAUCGAGGAUAAUUGAUGAUGAUGAUGUUGACGGGGUGUUGGGUUCCUUCUGAUCUGAGGCCUUUUCUGCCUCCCACUUAUUACUGCAUUCGUCUCACUAUCUUUCUUCUUACCGAAAUUACUACCAUAUCUCUUGCUCGUUGAUGCCUCAUCUUUUGACAAACGUCCCUCACGGACUCCUUCCUCAAGCCUCAUCCCCAUGUUUACCAUUUCGGUAAAAUCACUAGGGGCACUAGCAAUCAUUCAUUCAUAGUAAAAUGAACUCAGAGUUUUCAAGAAGAUCUUGUUCAUCUCUUUUUCCUCCAAAGGAGGAGUGAUCUGGGCAACCAAUUGUAGCGGGGUAUUCGUUACCAUUAGAGAUAUUGACUAAAUCCAAGGUAAAUCAUACAAGUUGAGUCGCCACCGCACUUUUAUUUAUCCAAAGGAAUGGUUAGAAAGCGAACAAAAACCUAAUAGUUUUAACAAAAACUAGUAAAAGAAAACAGAGAUCUGGGUAAGGGGGUUGGUUAUGUAAUGGGAAGGUGUUAGGCACCCAAAACAUUCUAGGUACUCCUAGGGNAGAAAGGAUAAAGAAACAAAACCACAAUGGAGUUCCUCUCUUGAGAUCAUAUUGAUGAUCCAAGUAACUCCCAUCUUUUGGAAUAAGCAAUCACAAAGCAUAAGCAAUCAAACAAGUCUCUUAAGAGGUCCUCAAUGUAUCUUGUGUCUUUUACUUUGGAUGAACAUGGCAAUGGUCCUUCAAUUAAGCUCAAAGAGAAUUCCCUAGCACAAAAGCACACACAUCAAAAGCUCCAUGAAGUAAAACAAGAAUGGACAAGAGUGAGUUUAGAGAUUUGGUCCCUCUAAUCCAUCUUCAUCAUGAAAGUCCAUUUACUCCAAUUUUGCAUAAGGAAAGUCCUAGAAUCUAAGUCCAAAUCUCCAUUCUUUGCGUAGGGAAAGUCCUAGAAACUAAGUCCAUUUCUUUGCAUUUGGUCCACAAAAAACAAAACAAAAACACAAGCACAAAAGUAUAUACACAAUUAUGUGCUCAAGUAAGCAAAAGGCAAAUGGCAUUAACAUAAACAUGGGCUCAAGUGAGCAAAGAGAAAAGCAAAUGGAUAAUAUGUGCAGGAAUAGUAAAUUGCAUAAAAGUAAAGAGCAAAAGGUAAAUGUUAAUUGUUAAUGGUUAGUGUUAGUGGUUAGUGUGCCAUAAGGCAAAUUUAGCGCUAUGUUAAGCAAUCGUAAUUGGACUUAUGUAGAAGUCACAACUAUCUGAGGCCGGUCAAUAAUAAUAUAGGCAACAACACAAGUUAGAAGUCUUGAUUAGUGAACCAAGUUNUCAAUCCACCGAGACGCUUCUUUCUUUCCUAAGCGCCCUUUCGGCGUUUCAACUUAGCGAGUGUUCUGUUUUUAGGCGGAAGUGUUUCUUGACUGAGCAUCUGCGUUACAGGCGAUGUGACUCUUCACCAUCCAUAGUUGUAAGUACUCAUGCACCGCCUGAAGGAGCUUCUCUUAAAACAUAUUGGGCUUCAUUAAUUAGGAGUCCAUUUCUCUCUACGAAUUCUUGGUUUGAAGGAUAAAAUCUUCUCGAGCACAAGGGUCACCUUACUUUGAAACACAUGAGGGUUUGACCUUUCUUAUCAAAAACUUUCUUCAUACCUUGGCUUUUUGAUACAAACUGACCAUGACACAUGGCAGUUAUCUCUUGCAUCUUCAAUCAAAUUCAACUGCUCAAACUGGUCUAAACACAUUCAACCUCAGUCAACAUUAGGCUAUCCAAGGCACCGCAAUGAAAGGGCAUCUCAACCUCUACGGGGAGCCACUGCUAUCCAUACCUACACAAGAGGAAGGGAGUUGCCCCAUGUGAAUGCGAUGGAUGUUACGAUAACCCAUUAAAGAAAAUGGAGCAUCAUCAUGCCAUCCUUAUAGGGUGACAACCUCUUCGGAAUUAAUUCUUCUGGGACGUUUUUGUUCGCGGCUAUCAAAUGCCCAUCAUCUUAGGAUCUGUAGGAGAAAGAGUAUAUGAUGUGCAAUCUUGAAGUCUUGCAAGAACUUCCACCAUAUUGUUAUUCAAGUUCGAUCCAUUAGUAAGUAAAUGAAUUUACUUUCGGCACCCUACGGACAAUAUAACUUUGAUUCUGAAUAAAAACCUUUACAACAACUUGCUUGAGUUACUUUGCUUACGACUGCCGCCUUCACCAGUUGGUGAGUAGUCAAUUGCCACCAAAAUGAACGAUGUCACAUUUCGAAGACUUUGGUCAUCAUUCCCAUCAGUUAUUCAAAUUUCCCACAUGUGAGAAGGGCCAUGGGGAACGGUAACUUCAAUAGUGUCCGGAAAGAACAUUGAUCUUAUCGACAAUAAAUUUUACACUUAGAUGGCUUUCUUCACAAAAUAUGCAAUAGUCAGAUUCCAGGGUUGUCAACCAAUAGUAAUCUUGCUCUCAAAUCUUCUUCGCCUUAGCAUGUCCAUUGGAAAUGGAGUUACCAAAGGACACCUUCAUUGACAGUUCACGUCUCGACAAGUUUGCGUCGUGUCUAAUCCAAUACAUCUGAGCAAAAACCAUGAUCGAACAUCGAAGUCAACCCAACCUAUGCACCGAGUCCACGUCGAAGUUUCUACUUGUUAGACUAUUAUCACCAUUCAAGUAGAAAUUGCCGAGCUAAAUCUUCUCAAAGUCUUCUUAUUUUUCAAAUGCAUAAUACGAGGUAAAUAUGACUUUGAGAGAGAAACAUUUGAAUAUCGCUAAAUACCACGACUUCUCGAUACUUUGAUCUCUUCAACACCAACAUCUGACCGCCAAUGUUCGUAAGGCAGCAUCAUUUGCAAUCGGUUUUAUCUCGAGGGAUAUGAUGAAACUCAACCUUGUUACAGAGUUUGAAAUAACCUCCUCGAUAUUCAUAAUAGCGUAUUUAAACCGGAGUUGAUUUGUCUCCCAUUCUCUUUGCUUGAUCUCACAACCAAAAGCCAGAAAUCACCGAAAGACAUCCAAAAUACUUGAUUCUGAGAUACAUGAACCUACUCGCAGCCCCAUCAUGCAAGCUUAUAUAUCUGCCAUAUUGUGAGUAACCAUUGAAAAGUCAAAUCUAGCUGUAAUGGUAGAUGCGUGCAUUUGAAGGAAGUAAUAAUCACAUGCCCCAAUGCCAUUUCCAAUAAUUGAGUUAAACAGCUCCCAUCAAAUACAAAUGGCCCCAACGGGAUACAGGUUCUGGGCCCUUGCUCAAGGCAAUGGUUCAUUCACAAAUAUUUCAUAUUUUAAGUACAAAAUCUACUUUAUAUCAGAAGCGAUCAUGCAUUGCCAUGUCUGGUAAUCUUUCACAUUGUUGGUGAGCGAAAAUGGCUUCAGCCAAGAUACUACCUUUUAGAUUGUUACUCUAAGAUACGGUAUUCGAUAUUCAUACUCUAGCAUGUAACACAUCUGACCACACGGGGCAAUUCUCCCAUGUAUAAGCAGCUUUCUCAAAUAUAUACUGAUUGGAUCCAUUUUGGAUAUUAAAACCGAGUCGGUUUGAAUUUAACAUAUAACUGGCGCAAGACGCUUCAGCAGACCAAGCCCAUGCGCAACAAUUUUCUCAAUGCAAUACAAUACCGAGGUCUCACAGAUCGGUGAACUUACUUACAUGAGAGUAAGUAAAUUAGAAAUUCUUUUCUUUCCAUUCUUCAUCUUAGCUAACCAGAACACAACCACAUUACUUUCAUUCAAGCACAGUCAACUACCAUGAUCAAAUAUGUCCUUCCAUUCAACAGAGUGGAGCAAAAUCGAAAGGUUUCAAGACAACGAUUCUUUGAUACUAGUCAAAAGCUUUAUGUUCAGUCUUCGGAUCCAUCACACAGACUGAAUCUUUACUGAGAAGGCUUUGCUAUAGGCCGCACAUGUGGCCAAGUCUAAUGCAGGAAUGAAAUCCUGGGAGAUAAUAAUCAAGACCCCCGACGGAAAACCUAUUGACUAUGCUUUAUCUCAGUUUUGGGACGCAGGCAUCCUUUCAUAUUGCUUUCGACCUUGCGCAGAUCAACUCAAUACCCUUCUCGUAAUGGACAAAAAAGACCAAAACUUACCAGAACGAACACCAAACGUACACUUAAAUUGGGAUUAAAGCGAAGUUCUUAUUUCCGGCAAACGCAUGGAAUAGCGCAACAAAUGCUACAACAUGUUACUCUUCAUUAAUUGAUUUAGCAAAUCAUGCAUUCAACAUAACUCAAAUUCUCUUUAUGCAUCAUAUCCAUGAAAAAGAAGUAGUGCAUUGCUCUUUUCGGUAAGUUUAGCACCAGCAAUAUCUUUUAAACCGAAAAGGCAAAUCACUCUUAUAACAGGAAUAGUUCCCCAAGGUGUUAAAUGAAUGUGUCUAUCUCCAUAUCUAUCGGGAUUUGCCUUCUUGAUCAUGUUAUAUCCAGGAAAAAUCAUCCUAAACGAAAAGACUUUGAAUUUGCAAGUAGUGUCUACCAAUAUAUUAAUGUGAUUGAGCAGAGGAAAUCAAUCUUUUGGGACUAGCUAUUAUUCAAAUCUCUAUAAUCACACACAUGCGUACUUUUUCCAUCUUUCUUCAGGCAAACUUGGCAAUUAUUUUUAUGGGCCAACACCCCCCACCCAUUGCGCGAUACCAGCGGUCACAGAAACACCGACAUCAGGCUGCUUCUGCACUUCCUCUUUUGAUCUUCACAACCAUAUCAGGACGCGUUCUUCUGCACUCCUCCUUGACUGGGCAUUCUGCUAACGGCAAUCUAUGUCCCAAUAUCAGGAAUCCAACCCAAGCAUGUACUUGAAUAGGACCAAGGAAACACAUUGAAACUCAUCGACAAGAAGAUCAAAACAACCCCUUCUUCUAGCAUACUGGACACAGGCGAGACCCACAUUCAUUGACUUUCCUUACAUCAUCUUAGAACCAAGAUUGACUAGUUCCAAUCUGCUCUUCAAACGGAUUAAUUCGUCUUUUCAUCUUGCUCAGAGGCGGAGAUAAAUUACAUCGACCACUUCACAUCACUUUCCUCCUCGGCCUUCAAACCAGGAAUUCAAAAUUUGGAGAAGAAAAGGAUCAUUGUAUUUAAUUGUUAGGAACCAACCUGCUAUGAUUUGAUAUUUUUGGAUUUUAGAAAGUGAAGAUUGUGACCAAAAAUAUUAUGCAGUGGACAAUUAUAUUGGUUAUUUAUGUUUUUUGUGAUUACCAUUUUCAGGAGUUAAGCAACAAGUAAAAACAACAUUCAUAGAUGUGUGAUGAAUAAAUUAAUUGUUAUUAAUGUCAAUUGAAAAUGCCCAAAACAAGUUUCCACUUCUCCCUUAGCUGGAGCGGAUUUAAAACAUAUAAAGUAUUUACUUUUAGAUUGAUGGAAAAUAACAGGAUAUCAUUAGGAGUUAAUUGUUGCACGUCUUUCAUGCGUCACAAAGUUGGUGCAGUUUCCUCUUCGUCAUCCUCUAGCACAACAGCUAAGUGUUGUUCAUUGCCAUGAAUGAACCCUCCACUACGGGAAGCUGAGUUGUAUAUCUUCAGAUCUUGCAAUUGUGGCCUUUCUGGAACCCCAAACCGGUUUUUGCCUUGUUGUCGGAGACCCUUAUCAUGCGCCCCCACUUGAUCAAUGUUCCUUCUUCAACAAUCUUUUGAGCAUCUUUUUAAUGAGGGACAUAGGCUGCCCCACUCUCUUCUUCACAGAAAUAGAUAAGGCUUGGAACGGAGUCCCAACCUCAUCCUCAACUUCAACAUAAGAGAAAGAUGGACAGGUGGUACCAAUAGCGAACCUGUCUCCCCCCAACAAUAUCACUAGCUUGCCAUUAUUGACCAAAUUUCAGUUUCUGAUGUAGAGUGACAGUAACAGCUGCCUGUCUCAUGGAUCCAUGGCCUUUCCCAUUAAGCAACUGUAGGCCGAUGGAUAUUUUGCAUUCCGUGAAAAGGAAAGCUGAAAAUCACUCGGACCUAGGGUUGACUGGAAGGUCUUCUUCCACCAAUUAUGGUCCUUGCGCGAACCAUCAAAGGGCUUUGACGAUUAACACCGCUAUACCUCCAUGCAGUGCUCCUUGAUAAGAUGAGGCUCUCGACAAAUUUGACCUAUGGAAGCUAUUCAGUGACGAACCCCCCCGGUUGUCAAUAAGACAUUUGACAAAGCAUCUUCCUUGCCCAUUAUCGAGAUAUGCAAGCCAACUUUGGUUUCUUUCUCUCCUUGGGAGUAUUCUCAUCAUAGAAAGCUGAAGAUUUUGCAAAGAAGUGAUGUUAGCCACAUAUGAUCGAAAUGUCCAACUGUAACAUCAUGUUUUUACAAAAAUCUUUGUUCCAGAACUCUCUGCAGUUGCUUCUCUAUGCGCUUCGGAAUUCAUUCAGCGAGACAACCUGACAUUUUUGAGGGGGUUUGAGCUGCUGCUCUACCACAUUUGAACUCUCUCCUUUUUGAUUUAGUCGGAGUACCUCAUCAUCAUCAUUAGGCUUUUCAAAUUGUGGAUUCACCAAACUUAUCUUUCGAACAGCAAUGGGUCCACCACUAGGCCACCUCCACUUCUCCCAACAAUUGUUUCCUUUUAUCCUUGGGGAACACCGGCCCAACAUCGACCACUGCGGGUCACACUUAAGUAACAGCAGCAAUGCUCACUACUGAACUAGGUCGUAGGUACGGGACCUCUUGACCAUCCUUCAUAUUUGGUAGCUUAUAGUGAUUACGACACAACUUUCAUCAGAUGAAUACGGACUGGGCCGCUAACGUAUUACCACGCGAUACUGAUCUUUACUGUUGUGUAUUAGAGUCAUAUGGAUUCCAAUCGCUCUUGUUUGGCUUGGGAAAACGGGCACUAUGACAUUACAUCGUCAUCUCAUGACGGGAUUGAACAAUUUAGAUCAUUCCUUCAGUACAAUCAGUGCGUUGGAUGUUCCCGUUUUCACAAAACCUCAACAACCCUCGGGUUAACACUACAAACAGCACAACCUCAUGGUCGUGCUCGCAUUCACUUACCAAACAAAACAUUCCUUAUGCAUCUGCAUAAGGACCUCUCGAUAAAAUGCACAUAAAAGGACUUUGAUUCUCCAGGAACAACCGGCCACCAUAAUUCACAGAAGAGUUCCCAUGAGCGGGCAAAAGGUUUCUAUUCACAUUUGUGCGCACCAGGUCCUCGAGACACCAUACCACUUUUCAUUAAUUCUGAACCUCAUACUUCAAUGGAUAACAAUUUUCAAUGUCGUGUUCGGGUGCUCCUUUGAUGAAAGCACAACAGAGCUCAGGUUUAUACACCAAGGAAGUGCGUUCUGGGAUCUGUGCGGGUUUCUUGGUUGAUUAAGUUUUGAGAACUAGAGGAUAGAUACAACUCUGUUAUGAAUAGGGAAUGCGGCGUCAAGAGACCUAUUUCCUCUCAAGUUUUGCCUGAUUGAUGAUUUUAUUGGUACUUGUUGUUGUUGUAGCGUGUUUCGUUUCAUGUUUGUGGUUGUGUUGUUGUUGACGGUUUGGUUGUUGUUGAAUUGGUGUGCUUGUGGAUUAGAAACUUAACCGAAUUAUCGAGGAUAAUUGUGGAUGAUGUUGACGGGGUGUUGGGUUCCUUCUGAUCUGAGAGGCCGUUUUCUGCCUCCCACUUUAUUACUGCAUUCGUUCUCACUAUCUUUCUUCUUGACCGAAAAUUUACCUAUUCUCUUGCUCGUUGAUGCCUCAUCUUUUUGACAAACGUCCUCACGGACUUUCCUCAAGCCUCAUUCCAUGUUUACCAUUUCUUUAAUCACUCGGGGCACUACAGCAUCAUUCAUUUCUAGUAAAAUGAACUCAGAGUUUUCAGAAGAUCUUGUGCAUCUCUUUUUCCUCCAAAGCGAGGAGUGACUGGGCAACAAUUGUAGCCGGUUGUUUCGUUACCAUAGAGAUAUUGACUAAUCAGGGUAAAUUCAUAACAAGUUGAGUCGCCACCGGCACUUUUAUUUAUCAAGAAUGGUUAGAAAGCGACAAAAACUAAUUAGUUUUACAAAACUUAGUAAAGAAAACAGGAGAUCUGGUAAGGGGGUGGGGUUAUGUAAUGGGAAGCGUGUUAGGCCCCAAACAUACUAGGUAUCCUAGGAGCCCUUUUCUAACUUGUUGUAAGGUUGUUGUUUUAUGAAAAUUUUGGUUUGUGCAAACAAUGAUUGAAGAAGAUGAGAGAGAAUAUGACAAGGCUUUAUUUUACAUUUUGUGUUGGCUGGAUAACAACCCUUGCCUUACGUACCAUUUAUAAAAGUUAGGAUCAAAGACCUCGUAGUUCGGUAAAAAAUCUCCAAUGCGUUUGUUGAAUUGAUUGCGUCCAAAAAGCCUUUAAGGUCUGUUUGUUAUCAAAUGGGAGAAAACUCAACCAACCACAAUCCACCAAUGUGAGGAUAGUCCGUAACAUGCUAGUGAGGGGUUAAACCAGUAAUCAUGGAAGACUCAUUGUCCAUCACUAGCUUAUAAGGUGAGUUUAUAUCUUCCACAAGGUAACUCCAAAACCUAAUGCUAAGGUUAUGGAAAAUUGAUUAAGAAGUGGCCAUUGAACCACAAAAAGACACUUGCAUGGGUUGAUAUUUACCAUUUGAGUAUAUACAAAAAAUGGUCAAAGUUGAUUUAAAGUGAUUUCAAUUCAAAAUUUGUGUUAUGAAAAGAAGGUUUGAACAAUCAAAAGCCCUUAAGGCUUAGGUUUCUAAUGUUGGGGGAAAACAUGGUUAAAUGUUUGCACAAAGAGUUUUGGCUUGGUUAGAGUGGGAGAAGAGGAAGAUGGCUAAAUCCUACAGAAAGCCAAAGAGAAAGGAUAAAGAAACAAAACCACAAUUGGAGUUCUCUCUUGAGAUCUAUUGAUGAUCCAAGUAACUCCCAUCUUUUGGUAAGCAAUCAAAGCAUAAGCAAUUCAACAGUCUCUUAAGAGUCCUCAUGUUAUUCUUGUGGUCUUUUACUUUGGCUUGAAACAUGGCAAUGGUCGUUCAAUUAAGCUCCAAAGAGAAUUCCGCUGCACAAAAGCACACACAUCAAGUCCAUGAAGUUAAAACAAGAAUGGACAAGAGUGAGUUUAGAGAUGGGUGGUCCCUCUAUCCAUCAUUUCAUUCUGAAAGUCCUUUACUCCAAUUUUGCAUAAGGAAAGUCCUAGAAUUCUAAGUCCAAAUCUGCCAUUCUUUGCGAGGGAAGUUCCUAGAAACUAAGUCCAUUUCUUUGAUUUGGGUCACACAAAAAACAAAAACAAAACCACAAGCCAAGUAUAUACACACUUAUGUGCUCAAGUAAGCAAAGGCAAAUGGCAUUAACAUAAACAUUGGGCUCAAGUGAGCAAAGAGAAAGCAAAUGGGAAAUAUGUGCAGGAAUAGUAAAUUGCAUAAAAGUAAAGCAGCAAAAGGUAAAUGAUUAAUUUGUUAAUGGCUGCUUCAGUGUUAGUGGUUCGUGGCCAUGAGGCAAAUUUCGCGCUAUGUUAGCAAUCGUAAUUGGACUUAUGUAGAAGUCACAAUAUCUGAGGCGGUUCAAUAAUAUAAGGCAACAAAACACAAAGUUACGAAGUCUUGAUUAGUGGAACCAAGUUCAACAACUUGCCAUGCGCAAAAGAAAAGAGAAUUGUUCUUGUAUUGGUUUUAAGCUUUUUGCAUGGAUUUAGAAAACAACCCUAUCCUUAAUGGCAAAGUCAUUCACUUGAUCAAUUGAUCAAGAUGAAUUAGAUUGAUCAGGAAGAUUAAGUCUCCCUAAUCAAUGGCUUAACUUAUCAACGCUUUCAACUCAGUGAUCAAAAAGAAAAUAAGAAGGAAGAAGAAGGAGACAUGGAUAUGGAUAAUGAAAAUGGAAAGACUCAAAAAAUGCAUAAAGUGAAAUAAGAUGUACCGAUCCAUAUGGUAUUGUACUAACAUGACAUUGAGAGUCAAAGUCAAACACUGAUAAAUCAGAAAUGAGAUGAAGAUGGGAAAUUCAACAAUAAGCAAAAUAUUUGUGGCAUUUUUAAAAUUUAAAACUUAAACUUGAAUUAAAAUAAAAGAGAAGGUCAAACUUCAAAAUCACUUCAAUCAACCUUGAAAGGUCCAAGUGAUUUAAUCCAAGUUCAACAAGGUUAACAAAGUUGGACAAAAAAAUUCAGCACUUUUAAAGUCAGAAAACUAUUUUUUAAUUUCAAUUAAAAACUGAAUAAAAAUAAACCUAAAUUGAACUAAAAUCUCAAAAUUAAAUCUUCAAAUCAAUUUAAAAAUUUGAUGAGAAUAAUUUUUCUAGAUCCUCAUCAUUAUCAAAUUAGGUUAGGAAAUAUUUUGCAUUUUUGGAAUAUAAAAAACUAUUUAAACUGAAUUAAAAAAUAACCAGGAAAGAGAAAAUUCACAAAUUAUGUGCAAAUUGAUGAAAUAAAAACUAUUAACAUCAGAAUAGGAAAUAAAAGGAAUUUAUUUGGAGACUAAUGCAAUUGGUCCCAUAAUUUUUGGAUUAAAAUGAGAGAGAUAUUGAUUUUGAAAUAAAGGAAUAAACAAAACUAAAUCAGAAAUUUAGAAACUGUGGAAAAUCCUGGCGCGUUUAGAUUCUCCUUUCAUUAAAUGACGGAUGAUUCUGAGCAAAUGGCAUACAGCGCGCAUCAUAGGACCAAGUCAAUGCGACCACACAUUAGAUUAAAUAAAAGUUCAUAACAAUAAGGCAAGAUUCAAAUCUGGGAUAAUGAAUCCAGGGUCCACAAAUUGCCAUCUGGCAAUGAAGGACGACCACCGGAGCCACCUUCUUCUCCGGUUGAGCUUGGAUUUCUGGCCAAAUUGCACGAGAUCCAAAAGGCAAACCCGAAAAUGCACGAUCCAUACAUCUUCAGAAAGCCUGGGAUGCAUGUACAUCAAUCCUUGCUUUGCCACUCAAUUCCACUCUAAGAUCUCUAUAUUGAGGAGAAAUCAGGAUGGAAGUUCUGUAGGUGAUUCAUCAUGAACUCAAUGGAUUUCAAAAAACUAAAUGGCCAUAUCAUGAUGCCUCUAUUGAAGAGGCACUCAGGUCAACACAAGAUCCAAGCAAAUGGUCAUAUGGAUGAUGAGAUUCGAAGAAAUACCAGUUGGGUAAGAGUAAGCUUGAUUUCUUGGAAACUAGAGCUUGUUCCUUGCUUUCUUUGCCAAAACAGAAGAUCAAAUAAGAUGAAAUGAUGUGACAGGUUCAGAAGCUUUAGAUCCAAAGGGAUUCAACCAGAUUGUAGUUGAAUUUUGGAUCUGAAAAAUUUGGAAAGAAAGUGAGUACUUCUGUGGUUUGGUUAUGGUUUCAGUUGUUGCGAUUUUCUGGCGCCAUUAAGGCUGAGGAGCGUGAGGCGGAACGGCUCUAUACUAUAGCAAUUAGAAAGGCAUGCAUUGAAAAUUUCAUGUUGCAUGAAUAAAGGGGGGCCUCCAUGCAUGGGCCUGUACAGGCGCAUGGAGGGUCCCAAAUCUAAUUGAUUUUGGCAGCUGUCGUUAACAUCAGCUAUUUUGUUUGGACGUGGAGAAUAAUGAUGUAUUGGCAUUAUGCAUGAAGUCUGAAUCAAGUUUCCAUAAUUCACCAAAAUAUCCCUCCUUCGAAAAUGCCAUUUGCCCAACCCAAAUCCAAACAUGAUCAUGUGAGUAAUGGUUGGAAAGGUCUUGAUGUAAGGAACAAUUGUUAUGUUGGGCAAAAAUCCAUUUGAAGUGUGGAAAUUUAUGAAAUUUGAGUUUAAAGUGCAAGGUGUAUGACAUGUCAAAGCAAGGUUUCUAAAUUUGGCCAAUUUUCAAGCCCUUUAGUGUUGAUGAUUCAAGCCUCAAAUGAAAAAACCUCCAACAUAAAAGUUGUAUAUCUUUUCAAGACAAUGAAAAUGGAAUUAAAUUUUGCAUCAUUUAUAUUUUUGAUGAAAGAGUUAUGGGCACUUGAAGUUGGAUUUUUUUGCCUUUUAAUGCAUUUAGCCCAAAAGGACCUAUAAAGUAUUGCAUUAUCACAUGUAUUUCCUUUGAGAUUUUGAAAUUUUGUUCAACAUAAAAUUUGGAGUAGACAUCUUAAUAUUUCCAAUGCAUUUGAUCCCACCUUAAAAUCAUAACAAAUGAAUGAGUUAUGUCCUUAGGAAGUUGACCCAAAAUUAGGGUUUCAGUCAAAAUGACCUAUAAUGUCUUGGUAUGGGAGAUGACCUUCCAAGUUUUAAAUCAAUUUUUGAUGAACAUGAAAGUUGUUCCUUUUGUCCUUAAGAACAUUUUUGAUUUUGGAAUCAUCUCCAUUUGACCAACACAUAACAAGUUAGGUCUUAGUGCAUUUCAAAAUAGUCAGAUGAAUUGACUGAUCAACUUCUCAAGUCCAUGACGUAUAUCUUGAUGAAUUGAUGAUUGAGGACACUCAAAUAAGUUCAAAUAUGCAUGAAAUGAUGAAUUAAAGAACUUCCCUUGAUUGUAUUUGACCAUGGGCUAAGGUUGCUUCAGGAGCAAGGCAUUGUGGUGCACAGAUGAAUUAGGGUUUCUUUGGGGAACUAACCUCAAAUCCUUUGACUUGCUUUGAUAAAAAUGAUGAAAUGAGAUGCUAGGGGGGAAUACUUGAUGGAUGAGAGAAUUGGUAACCAUUACCAUGCUUGCUAUCAUCUCCUUUUGACCUUACCCUUGCAUAAGUGAUCUCCUUGAAGCUCUUGACCUUGUGAUUGCUCAAGCUACAAACAAAAGAUGUUAGUGACAUAUUUUUGUGCUUUUGGUUAGUGAACAAAAUAAGAAAAGCAAUGAUAUACAAUUCAAGCAUGCUUGUGUCUCAAACCACCCACAAGAAGUCUAACAACAAAGGUAAGAGGGAAACAAGAUGCUAAGGAUCCUUGAGGCAAUGCAAAUGCAAUGUUAUGAUGCCAUGAGGGAUCUUAGGGACAAAAUUAGGGUCUUACAGAUGCCCCUAUUUAAGGUCAUUCUAGCCGGAGAAGUGAAGGUUAAAAUCUUCAUCUUGACAGGGUAGAAUGGGCUUAAAUAAUAACAAAGAGAUGAAUUUUGGUCCCUAAGAGACCUCAUGAUGCAGAUGUAUGCAUGCAAAUGGCAAAACUCUAUGGGGAUAGGCGUCCACAAAAGAAAAAGAAAUCCGGAGAAACUAAAAAAUCCCGAAGGAGUAAUACACUCACUAGGGAGACAGAGACUCUACCGGGGAGUAAAGGGCUGAAAAUGCGUGAGCAGGUCACGACUUGAGACUUGCUGAGAGACAUAGAGAGAAUCCAUGAAAUAAAUCAAUGGAAGAACUCGUGCUGACUCGAAGAUGCAUGUAUUGGGGAAUAUGCCAAUACAGCCAAAAAUUAUCCGCAAUGGAUACUUCGGAUGAAAAUCCGGACUCAGGUGCGGAUGUCCCCUAAGGACUCAACUGACGAAGAUCCCGACAGAAAACCUCCUAGGGAAGCAACUGUAUCAGGUAUUACCGGUUACUGGGUAAUGAGCUCAAAGAGACGUGUGAUCUGAACACCGGUAUAAGGGUGAGAGAACAACAUGCUCGGGAAGAAUGAGUAUCUAAGACCGGUAUAAGGGUGAGAGAUAUCAAUCAACCAAAUCAUCUGAGGAAGACAUGAUCUGAACACCGGUAUAAGGGUGAGAGAACAACAUGCUCGGGAAGAAUGAGUAUCUAAGACCGGUAUAAGGGUGAGAGAUAUCAAUCAACCAAAUCAUCUGAGGAAGACCUAAAAAGGUAUAUUUAAACUCAGGAUAAUCUGACUCCACAGGGGGCAAAAAGUCAUAAUAGGGAGCAGAAGGAAGGAACACCAAGGAUGCCGGUUACUGGGCAUAUAAUAGGUGACCAACCAAAGCAUGAAUUGGGGAAGAUUCCCAAAACACUCAUCAUCCAAAAAGAGGGCAAAAGGCAAACUCGAUUAUGGGAUGGACAUUCGAUUCCGAAACAGGGAUACGAAUCUUACUAAACUAGGGAAGAACAAAAGGCUUCAACCAAAGAGUGCAUGAGAUAUAUUAUCUAUUACCGUCAAAACGUAGAUAAUACACUCGCAUGGAAGAUUAUCCACAACCAGUUACUGGGUUAAUAAAGGAUAGAUCAACCGAGAGGGAAGGGCAUCGGGAUACCGAAACUAGGUAUAUAAUGAUGACCAAUCAAGGGGAGCAACAAACAUUACCGGCAACCGGUAUAUGAGAGAUGAUUUGUUGGGGAUAAAAUUGCCUAAUCAGAGCAAUUAUCCAAGAGAAAAAAGGAAUAUCAACACCGAAUAUUGGAUAGUGAUAACCGUCAAGGAGGGGAUUACAUCUACCGGAUACUGGGUAGAAAACCACGGAAGAGUAACCGUCAUCGGUUAGGAUGAAUAAGAAGGUUACCUCUACAAAGGAGAGAAAAUAGGGUUUAUAACUACCAGUAUAAGGGUAGAAAACCACAAACUCCGCCGAGGAUAAGAUGAAUGAUUACCGAUUACUGAGCAAUUAUUCAUUUAUACCAUGGGGAAACACAGGAAAUAGUCACAAGAGGCCAACUUAGGAUCAAACCAAAAA